UGUACAGGACAAAGAUCAUAAUCAGGUGCAGUUCGCUUUGCCCAGCAUAAGCCCUGGCUAGCCUAGAAGAAAUCAAAAAUUUAAAGCAUCAGGAAAAUGGAACAAUCUUCAUAUGGAUCUGAAAAGCUAAUGAAUCUAGCCAUGGAUAUACUGAAACAACAUUUGAUAAAAUUGGAAAGGGUUGUAUGCAAUGCAGAUUUCCAGAAACUAUCAGCAGGUACCCUAUUUCUUCAGUCAGGCAACAAAGAAAAGCAGCACACUUU
This is a long non-coding RNA of Lacerta agilis (Sand lizard), 263 nucleotides long. RefSeq lists it as uncharacterized. The record is from RefSeq and is a predicted model, not a curated record. NCBI's taxonomy places the organism in Eukaryota, Metazoa, Chordata, Lepidosauria, Squamata, Lacertidae. The transcript is spliced from 3 exons.